AGCUGCGUGGUGAGCACAAAGUGAACUAUUCUUUCGCCUUUUACUAAAGAAUACCGUGUGCAUGCGACAUCAAGCAGCAUACACUUAUUUUUUGAAGGGUUCUCUCCUUUACAGGGGGGU
Molecule: small nuclear RNA, 120 nt
Filed under: Triticum aestivum (bread wheat)
Lineage: Eukaryota; Viridiplantae; Streptophyta; Magnoliopsida; Poales; Poaceae
Also listed under: 2 other names
Description: snRNA U5
Rfam family: U5 spliceosomal RNA
About the family: U5 RNA is a component of both types of known spliceosome. The precise function of this molecule is unknown, though it is known that the 5' loop is required for splice site selection and p220 binding, and that both the 3' stem-loop and the Sm site are important for Sm protein binding and cap methylation.
Source: Rfam by way of RNAcentral